RNAcentral lists this ribosomal RNA (460 nucleotides) under uncultured bacterium. RNAcentral describes it as "partial 16S ribosomal RNA". It matches the Rfam family "Bacterial small subunit ribosomal RNA", at positions 338 to 795 of the family's 1533-position model. The record is from RNAcentral.
CCUACGGGAGGCAGCAGUGAGGAAUAUUGGUCAAUGGGCUUACGCCUGAACCAGCCAAGUCGCGUGAGGGAAGACUGCCCUAUGGGUUGUAAACCUCUUUUGUCAGGGAGCAAUUGGCGCUACGUGUAGCGUUAUCGAGAGUACCUGAAGAAAAAGCAUCGGCUAACUCCGUGCCAGCAGCCGCGGUAAUACGGAGGAUGCGAGCGUUAUCCGGAGUUAUUGGGUUUCAAGGGUGCGUAGGCGGAAUGCCAAGUCAGCGGUAAAAUCGCGGGGCCCAACCUCGCUCCGCCGUUGAAACUGGCGUUCUUGAGUGGGCGAGAGGUAUGCGGAAUGCGGGGUGUAGCGGUGAAAUGCAUAGAUAUCGCGCAGAACUCCGAUUGCGAAGGCAGCAGACCGGCGCCCAACUGACGCUGAAGCACGAAAGCGUGGGUAUCGAACAGGAUUAGAUACCCGUGUAGUC